AACUUGACCUAGAUAUCAUCAAAAUGAACAUUCUGACCAACUUUCAUAAAGAUCCCAUGAAAAAUGUGACCUCUAGAGUGGUCACAAGCAAAAGUUUACGCACGGACGACGGACGCUGCGCGAUCACAAAAGCUCACACUGUCACUUUGUGACAUGUGAGCUAAAAAAGGGCAUAAUUUUGUAAAAUGAAAAAUACAGGUAUUGAACCUCUGUACUGCAUGUCAUAUCAUGACAGUGGACAAGUGUGUGAAGUUUCAAUCCUUUCCACUUUGUGGAUACUGAGAUACCAGCUUACACACAAAAACUUAACCAAAAACUGCUAAGUCGAAAAAGGGGCAUAAUUUUGUAAAAA
Long non-coding RNA from Mercenaria mercenaria, 352 nucleotides. RefSeq lists it as uncharacterized. The transcript is spliced from 2 exons. NCBI's taxonomy places the organism in Eukaryota, Metazoa, Mollusca, Bivalvia, Venerida, Veneridae. The record is from RefSeq and is a predicted model, not a curated record.